This 72-nucleotide transfer RNA is filed under the name Myxococcota bacterium. Its description in RNAcentral is "tRNA-Lys". It matches the Rfam family "tRNA". Rfam says of the family: Transfer RNA (tRNA) molecules are approximately 80 nucleotides in length. Lineage: Bacteria; Pseudomonadati; Myxococcota. The record is from RNAcentral.
CCGACCGUAGCUCAGCAGCAGAGCAAGUGGCUUUUACCCACCCGCGCGCUGGUGCAAGUCCAGCUGGUCGGA